GGACCUGAUGCAGCCAUGCCGCGUGUGUGAAGAAGGCCUUCGGGUUGUAAAGCACUUUCAGUUGUGAGGAAAAGUUAGUAGUUAAUACCUGCUAGCCGUGACGUUAACAACAGAAGAAGCACCGGCUAACUCCGUGCCAGCAGCCGCGGUAAUACGGAGGGUGCGAGCGUUAAUCGGAAUUACUGGGCGUAAAGCGCACGCAGGCGGUUUGUUAAGCUAGAUGUGAAAGCCCCGGGCUCAACCUGGGAURGUCAUUUAGAACUGGCAGACUAGAGUCUUGGAGAGGGGAGUGGAAUUCCAGGUGUAGCGGUGAAAUGCGUAGAUAUCUGGAGGAACAUCAGUGGCGAAGGCGACUCCCUGGCCAAAGACUGACGCUCAUGUGCGAAAGUGUGGGUAGCGAACAGGAUUAGAUACCCUGGUAGUCCACACCGUAAACGCUGUCUACUAGCUGUUUGUGACUUUAAGUCGUGAGUAGCGAAGCUAACGCGCUAAGUAGACCGCCYGGGGAGUACGGCCGCAAGGUUAAAACUCAAAUG
This 536-nucleotide ribosomal RNA is filed under the name Alteromonas sp. RNAcentral's name for it is "bacterial SSU rRNA". It matches the Rfam family "Bacterial small subunit ribosomal RNA", at positions 379 to 907 of the family's 1533-position model. Lineage: Bacteria; Pseudomonadati; Pseudomonadota; Gammaproteobacteria; Alteromonadales; Alteromonadaceae. The record is from RNAcentral.